AUUGAGCUCUGGUUAACCGGGGUGGGGGGAGGAACUGCACAUAUUUAAGGGGGACAAACACGGACUUAUUUAAGUGAUGCACCAAACUCAUGCAGGGAAGACGCCACACAAACACGGCGCUGAGAAAGAAUUGGACGUCGAGCGCUCCCGGGAACCCCGGUAACCAGAGCGGCCGGAGCAUGAAAGUAUGGGUUUAAAGAUUGCCUCGGUUUUGAUUUAAUUUGUCCUAUAUUUUUUUGGAUUGAUUUGAUUAUGUAGAGUGGAUUUAUUUUGAGUUUUCUUUGGUUUUCUUCCUUUAAAGAAGUUAUGUUGUUUGCUUUUCCUGAAGUGGAUGGAUUUUAAAACCUGAUCUUAGAGUUUUUUGAUAAUAAAAGAAGUAUCUAUGAAAAUGUUCUAGUACGU
This is a non-coding RNA of Pimephales promelas (fathead minnow), 402 nucleotides long. Lineage: Eukaryota; Metazoa; Chordata; Actinopteri; Cypriniformes; Leuciscidae. The record is from RefSeq and is a predicted model, not a curated record.